RNAcentral lists this ribosomal RNA (244 nucleotides) under uncultured bacterium. Its description in RNAcentral is "partial small subunit ribosomal RNA". It matches the Rfam family "Bacterial small subunit ribosomal RNA", at positions 26 to 285 of the family's 1533-position model. The record is from RNAcentral.
AGAAUCAACGCUGGCGGCGUGCCUAACACAUGCAAGUCGCACGAGAAAGGGUAGCAAUACCUGAGUAAAGUGGCGCACGGGUGAGUAACACGUGACUAACCUACCCUUGAGUGGGGGAUAACCUAGAGAAAUCUGGGCUAAUACCGCAUAAUACCUUCGGGUCAAAGGAGCAAUUCGCUUAAGGAGGGGUUGCGGCCGAUUAGUUAGUUGGCGGGGUAAUGGCCCACCAAGACUGUGAUCGGUA